CUACGGGGGGCUGCAGUGGGGAAUAUUGCACAAUGGAGGAAACUCUGAUGCAGCAACGCCGCGUGGAGGAUGACACUUUUCGGAGCGUAAACUCCUUUUAUAUAGGAAGAAGAUGACGGUACUAUAUGAAUAAGCGCCGGCUAACUCCGUGCCAGCAGCCGCGGUAAUACGGCGGGCGCAAGCGUUACUCGGAAUCACUGGGCGUAAAGAGCGUGUAGGCGGAUUAAAAAGUCAGAAGUGAAAUACUAUAGCUUAACUAUAGAACUGCUUCUGAAACUCUUAAUCUAGAAUAUGGGAGAGGUAGAUGGAAUUUCUGGUGUAGGGGUAAAAUCCGUAGAGAUCAGAAGGAAUACCGAUUGCGAAGGCGAUCUACUAGAACAUUAUUGACGCUGAGACGCGAAAGCGUGGGGAGCAAACAGGAUUAGAUACCCGGGUAGUC
Molecule: ribosomal RNA, 439 nt
Filed under: uncultured bacterium
Lineage: Bacteria
Description: partial 16S ribosomal RNA
Rfam family: Bacterial small subunit ribosomal RNA
Source: RNAcentral